Molecule: transfer RNA, 93 nt
Filed under: Rhodospirillaceae bacterium
Lineage: Bacteria; Pseudomonadati; Pseudomonadota; Alphaproteobacteria; Rhodospirillales; Rhodospirillaceae
Also listed under: 2 other names
Description: tRNA-Ser
Rfam family: tRNA
About the family: Transfer RNA (tRNA) molecules are approximately 80 nucleotides in length. Their secondary structure includes four short double-helical elements and three loops (D, anti-codon, and T loops). Further hydrogen bonds mediate the characteristic L-shaped molecular structure. tRNAs have two regions of fundamental functional importance: the anti-codon, which is responsible for specific mRNA codon recognition, and the 3' end, to which the tRNAs corresponding amino acid is attached (by aminoacyl-tRNA synthetases). tRNAs cope with the degeneracy of the genetic code in two manners: having more than one tRNA (with a specific anti-codon) for a particular amino acid; and 'wobble' base-pairing, i.e. permitting non-standard base-pairing at the 3rd anti-codon position.
Source: RNAcentral
GGAGGGGUGGCCGAGCGGCUGAAGGCGGCGGUUUGCUAAACCGUUAUAGGGGUAAUACCUCUAUCGAGGGUUCGAAUCCCUCUCCCUCCGCCA